This 1640-nucleotide long non-coding RNA is filed under the name Brassica napus (rape). RNAcentral's name for it is "long non-coding RNA (BNAP_LNC010265)". The record is from RNAcentral. Lineage: Eukaryota; Viridiplantae; Streptophyta; Magnoliopsida; Brassicales; Brassicaceae.
UUAAGGUAUAAGGUUUGGGUUUAGGGUUUAGAGUUUGGGUUUAGAAUUUAGGAUUUAGGUUUAGAUUUAAGAUCACAUUCCAUAAAUCAAGCUCAAUCAAAUAGGAGAAUCAACAAUAAUAAUUUCGAUAAAAAUUAUUUAAUCAAAAUUUUAACUUUUCCAACAACAAAAACCUAAACUUCUGUAAAAUAGAAUUCCUUUUAACAUCAUCCAACAACAAGAAGCAAUUCACCUAUCUAUUCAACUAAGAGUUUCGGAUGAUUCGUAUUAAAAUGACAAAUCCACUGUUAUUUAAACGAAGAUUUAAAAAAACACUCUAUCCACACUGUUAUUGAACAAAAUUUAAGUUGAAAAUUUUUAGAGUACUUUAAUUUUUUUAGGGUGUUUGAGAGAGGUUUCUUAGUUAUAAAAAUAAAUAUCUAAAUCUCAUGAUUUUAGAUGAGAGUAAAGUUGGUUAACAAAAAUCACAUCAAAUUAUAAUAUUCACUUAAAAUCAUCUAAAACUCACUAAAAUCAAAUCACUCCAAAUUUGAGGUUCAAUACACCCUCUCCACAAGAAGAACCUCCAACACUCGCCAAUGAUCCUAAAUCUUAGCAACCACAAUCAUAAGAAAUUUUGCAUUCGCUCAACUUCAAUUCAUUAUGCUUCACUCGCAUAAGAUGAAGCUGAAGUAUUUGGUUGGUGGAUGAACUGCUCUCAGAUCCCUACUCAACAACUAGGAUUUCCGAAAAUGCUAUGUUUUGUUUUACUCAAGUCUGGCCUCCUAAACUUAAUCGUUAAAAAACAAUUAAGUUUUUUUAAAGAACAAAACUAUAGGUUCACCCUUUAGGGUGAAACUUUAAAUUCACCUCUACUCUUAUUACCAAUUAAAAUAUCAUCUAGAUUAUUAAUAAUAUAGAAUAAUUUUUUUAAAAACAAAUCUGAAAUAAUUGAAAAAAAUAAUGACGUCAAUUUUAAUAACGCUAACGCCACUAACUAAACUCUAAAUCCAAAUUCUAAACCCAAAACUUUAAAUCUAAACCCUAAAUUUUAAAUCCAAACUCAAAUUCUAAACUCAAACCCUAUACCUUAAACCCAAAUCCUAAACCUUAAACCCAAACCGUAAACCUUAAACCCAAACCCUAUAUCCUAAACCCAAAUCUUAGAUCCUUAACCCAAACCGUAAACCCAAAACCCAAAAUCCAAAUCCUAAACCCAAAUCCUAGACUCUAAAUCUUUAACCCAAACCCUAGACUCUAUACUCAAACCAUAUACCCAAACCCAAUCACUAGACCCUAAACUCAAAUCGUAAACCCUAAACCCAAAUCCUAUACCCUAAAAGUUUGAGUUAAUGGUGAUGUUAUUCUUUUACUGUUUAAGGUUUGAGUUUAGAGUCUAGGGUUUGAGUUUAGGUUAUAGGAUUUGGGUUUAGGGUUUACGGUUUACGGUUUACGGUUUGGGUUUAGGAUUUAGGAUUUGGGUUUAAGGUAUAAGGUUUGGGUUUAGGGUUUAGAGUUUGGGUUUAGAAUUUAGGAUUUAGGUUUAGAUUUAAGGUUUAGGGUUUAGAAUUUAUGAUUUAGGGUUUAGUUAGUGGCGUUAGCGUCAUUAAAAUUGGCGUCAUUAUUUUUUUUUCAAUUAUUUUAGAUUGUUUUAAUAAAAU